AGACAUCUGAAAGAGAUUAAAGAUUUAUCGGUGAUGGAUGGGGAUGCGUCUGAUUAGCUUGUUGGCGGGGUAACGGCCCACCAAGGCUACGAUCAGUAGGGGUUCUGAGAGGAAGGUCCCCCACAUUGGAACUGAGACACGGUCCAAACUCCUACGGGAGGCAGCAGUGAGGAAUAUUGGUCAAUGGGCGAGAGCCUGAACCAGCCAAGUAGCGUGCAGGAUGACGGCCCUAUGGGUUGUAAACUGCUUUUAUAAGGGAAUAAAGUGAGUCUCGUGAGACUUUUUGCAUGUACCUUAUGAAUAAGGACCGGCUAAUUCCGUGCCAGCAGCCGCGGUAAUACGGAAGGUCCGGGCGUUAUCCGGAUUUAUUGGGUUUAAAGGGAGCGUAGGCCGGAGAUUAAGCGUGUUGUGAAAUGUAGACGCUCAACGUCUGCACUGCAGCGCGAACUGGUUUCCUUGAGUACGCACAAAGUGGGCGGAAUUCGUGGUGUAGCGGUGAAAUGCUUAGAUAUCACGAAGAACUCCGAUUGCGAAGGCAGCUCACUGGAGCGCAACUGACGCUGAAGCUCGAAAGUGCGGGUAUCGAACAGGAUUAGAUACCCUGGUAGUCCGCACGGUAAACGAUGGAUGCCCGCUGUUGGUCUGAAUAGGUCAGCGGCCAAGCGAAAGCAUUAAGCAUCCCACCUGGGGAG
Molecule: ribosomal RNA, 692 nt
Filed under: uncultured bacterium
Lineage: Bacteria
Description: bacterial SSU rRNA
Rfam family: Bacterial small subunit ribosomal RNA
Source: RNAcentral